Molecule: long non-coding RNA, 393 nt
Filed under: Brassica rapa (field mustard)
Lineage: Eukaryota; Viridiplantae; Streptophyta; Magnoliopsida; Brassicales; Brassicaceae
Description: long non-coding RNA (BRAP_LNC003711)
Source: RNAcentral
UUAGGAUCAUAUUUCCUCGGGAUCCAUUAAACAUAAGUAAACAAAAUUUAAAAUGUAUUUUUCAUAAAUAUUAAAUUUACAAAGAUUCGUACAUGAUCGGCUGAGAUCGUUGUUUUACGCAUUAAGCCAUAUUUCUGGAAAAUUUAGAAGACAAAACUUAGUUCAGUGUAACUGGAUAUUGAUCUACCAAAUUAGUUAAAUGACUUUAGGUUAAUCUCUAAGGGCUAGAUAUGAUGAGUGGUUGGUUAAAGUUAAAUUACUUAUUUGUGAACUUCUGGACUGGAAGAAAGCUGAUAAAUGUAUAAAUUCUGUUCAACAGUGAAAAUAUUAAAAUACUUUUAAUUUGAAAAUUCUGUGUUGUUUUUAAUUUAAUAUGCAACAAAUAACCAGCCA